GCGGCCCUGGGUCUCUUUUCUUUUUUAAUGAAACCCCACAGUUUCAUUUCUCUCCUCACUGUGUUUUUGCUGAUCUGUACAAAUGAAAUUAGUCAAAGGAAACAGGAGUUGUUGAUUUUACCCAACCUUCUAAAGUAUAUGAGAACGUGAAGCAGGUAGCAUCUUCAUCUUUCUUCCCCAUUUGGCAAACAUCAAACUUUUUUUUUUCUUUUCUCUGAUGGGCCCUUCUAUCUCCUCUGCAAAUAUUCGAGACCCAAAUCUUCAUCUUUGCCUUGUUUCUUUUUUCAAUUUAGGCAACUUCAUUUGGUAUGAGAAGUGAGGUUUAUGUUCCUGGAAUAAAAGUUGACACAGUGACUGCAUUAUCUCUGUGAGAAAGCAAGCAUGGAUGUGCCAUCUUCAGAUGCAUCUCAAAUAGCUAACAACCUCUCAAACUUGGGCCAGAACUGCAACAGAGAAGAUAUUUCAACCGGAGACUGGCAAAGGGACAAGAUGUUGGAGAAGAUCGAGUUCGAGUGUACAGCCUAGUUCUUCCAGAGCAUCCUUCCAGCACCAAUGUCUACUUCUGGAGAGGUAAGUUCUAGCUCGUGUUUCUGUUCUUAUCUAACUAACAUUAGGGAAGUUGCAAGCCACUCAUUCAACAACCAGAAUGGUUGUUGAGAGGGAGUUUCAUGUUGGCUAAUUAAGGAGAUGAUUAUGGAUUUAUAACUAAGGAAUACAUCUCCUUGAUAAGCAAAGUCAUGAGAGCUUGUGCUCAAAGUGGACAAUAUCAUACCAUUGUGGAGGUUUGUGGUUCCUAACAUCUGCAAUCAAAGUGGUAGGUGUUUUCCUUCCCCAACACGUAUCAUGGUUUGCACCACAGGUUUACACUCUCAAACAUGAUGUUACAAAUGUGCAAUGUCUAGUACCAGGCUUGUUAUUGGCAAUUAGAAAGGUGGUGCGUCUUAAGGUACCUAAACACACGUCAGUAUAUGCACCUCAAAUUUUCUUGAAUGAUCUUCAUCCUGUAUUGUGUCAAACUAUCGCCUUUCUGUGCUACUUUGGCAGAAUCUGGUAUACGGCUGGGAGAAAUUUUUAGAAGGCUUCGAAGGCUCUCUCCUAGUAGCUCAAUCUGAAACUUCAUCUCCGUUGUUCAUUGGACGGAGUGACCUUUCGACCUGAUAACAAAAAGAAGAGUCAGGAGCUCAAGUUAGAGAGAAUUGAAAGAUAACUUUUUGUUUUUCAUUUUCCUUGUGUACAUGGAGAAAUUAAAUUAUAGUUCUUAAAGAAGGGUACCUCUAAAAAGGGUCACUGUGAUA
Molecule: RNA transcript, 1295 nt
Organism: Cucurbita moschata (crookneck pumpkin)
Lineage: Eukaryota; Viridiplantae; Streptophyta; Magnoliopsida; Cucurbitales; Cucurbitaceae
Exons: 4
Source: RefSeq, a predicted model, not a curated record